Molecule: non-coding RNA, 162 nt
Organism: Nodularia spumigena CCY9414
Lineage: Bacteria; Bacillati; Cyanobacteriota; Cyanophyceae; Nostocales; Nodulariaceae
Source: Rfam
GUUUAUGUGAACCAAACCACUCAAAACAUGAGUAAACGUUAUCUAGGUCAUAACACCUUGGGAUUCGCUAGUCCCCUGCCAUGUUGCUACUUAUUAAACAAUCCGCAAGGAUAGUGUAUUUAGCAUAACAAGCUCAGAUAACAAGGUUGAAGCAAACAUUAC